RNAcentral lists this ribosomal RNA (389 nucleotides) under uncultured bacterium. Its description in RNAcentral is "bacterial SSU rRNA". It matches the Rfam family "Bacterial small subunit ribosomal RNA", at positions 29 to 419 of the family's 1533-position model. The record is from RNAcentral.
AUUGAACGCUGGCGGCAUGCCUUACACAUGCAAGUCGAACGGUAACGCGGGGGCAACCCUGGCGACGAGUGGCGAACGGGUGAGUAAUACAUCGGAACGUACCCAGUAGUGGGGGAUAGCUCGGCGAAAGCCGGAUUAAUACCGCAUACGACCUAUGGGUGAAAGCGGGGGAUCGCAAGACCUCGCGCUAUUGGAGCGGCCGAUGUCGGAUUAGCUAGUUGGUGAGGUAAAAGCNCACCAAGGCUACGAUCCGUAGCUGGUCUGAGAGGACGACCAGCCACACUGGGACUGAGACACGGCCCAGACUCCUACGGGAGGCAGCAGUGGGGAAUUUUGGACAAUGGGCGAAAGCCUGAUCCAGCCAUGCCGCGUGUGUGAAGAAGGCCUGG